This 498-nucleotide ribosomal RNA is filed under the name uncultured Sphingobacteriales bacterium. Its description in RNAcentral is "bacterial SSU rRNA". It matches the Rfam family "Bacterial small subunit ribosomal RNA", at positions 903 to 1382 of the family's 1533-position model. Lineage: Bacteria; Pseudomonadati; Bacteroidota; Sphingobacteriia; Sphingobacteriales. The record is from RNAcentral.
CCGAGCCCGCUCAGAAACUACAAAGGAAUUGACGGGGGCCCGCACAAGCGGUGGAGCAUGUGGUUUAAUUCGAUGAUACGCGAGGAACCUUACCUGGGCUCAAAUGUAUGUUGACGUAUUCUGAAAGGGAUACUUCUUCGGACAAUAUACAAGGUGCUGCAUGGUUGUCGUCAGCUCGUGCCGUGAGGUGUCGGGUUAAGUCCCAUAACGAGCGCAACCCCUAUCAUUAGUUGCCAUCAGGUCAAGCUGGGGACUCUAAUGAAACUGCCUACGCAAGUAGUGAGGAAGGUGGGGAUGACGUCAAAUCAGCACGGCCCUUACGUCCAGGGCUACACACGUGCUACAAUGGCCGGUACAAAGGGCAGCUACCUGGUGACAGGAUGCUAAUCUCAAAAGCCGGUCUCAGUUCGGAUCGGAGUCUGCAACCCGACUCCGUGAAGCUGGAAUCGCUAGUAGUCGCGCAUCAGCCAUGGCGCGGUGAAUACGUUCCCGGGCCUU